UACGGAAGGCAGCAGUGGGGAAUAUUGCACAAUGGGCGCAAGCCUGAUGCAGCCAUGCCGCGUGUAUGAAAAAGGCCUUCGGGUUGUAAAGUACUUUCAGUCGUGAGGAAGGUGUUAAGGUUAAUAACCUUAGCAAUUGACGUUAGCGACAGAAGAAGCACCGGCUAACUCCGUGCCAGCAGCCGCGGUAAUACGGAGGGUGCGAGCGUUAAUCGGAAUUACUGGGCGUAAAGGGCACGCAGGCGGUUAAUUAAGUUGGAUGUGAAAUCCCCGGGCUUAACCUGGGAAUGGCAUUCAAGACUGGUUAGCUAGAGUCUUGUAGAGGGGGUAGAAUUCCAUGUGUAGCGGUGAAAUGCGUAGAGAUGUGGAGGAAUACCGGUGGCGAAGGCGGCCCCUGGACAAAGACUGACGCUCAUGUGCGAAAGCGUGGGGAGCAAACGAGGGA
Molecule: ribosomal RNA, 445 nt
Filed under: uncultured bacterium
Lineage: Bacteria
Description: bacterial SSU rRNA
Rfam family: Bacterial small subunit ribosomal RNA
Source: RNAcentral